UACGUAGGCAGCGAGCGUUGUUCGGAGUUACUGGGCGUAAAGGGUGUGUAGGCGGCCUAUUAAGUUUGGUGUGAAAUCUCCCGGCUCAACCGGGAGGGUGCGCCGAAAACUGGGAGGCUAGAGUGCGGGAUGGGAGAGUGGAAUUCCCGGUGUAGCGGUGAAAUGCGCAGAUAUCGGGAAGAACACCCGUGGCGAAGGCGGCUCUCUGGGACGGUACUGACGCUGAGACGCGAAAGCGUGGGGAGCGAACAGG
RNAcentral lists this ribosomal RNA (253 nucleotides) under uncultured bacterium. RNAcentral describes it as "partial 16S ribosomal RNA". It matches the Rfam family "Bacterial small subunit ribosomal RNA", at positions 524 to 776 of the family's 1533-position model. The record is from RNAcentral.